UGCCAGCCGCCGCGGUAAUACGGAGGGUGCAAACGUUGCUCGGAAUCAUUGGGCGUAAAGCGCACGUAGGCGGCUUGACAAGUUGGGUGUGAAAGCCCGGGGCUCAACCCCGGAAGUGCACCCAAAACUGUUAGGCUUGAGUCCCGGAGGGGCCCAGAGAAUUCCCGGUGUAGAGGUGAAAUUCGUAGAUAUCGGGAGGAAUACCAGUGGCGAAGGCGCUGGGCUGGACGGGUACUGACGCUGAGGUGCGAAAGCGUGGGGAGCAAACAGGAUUAGAUA
This 279-nucleotide ribosomal RNA is filed under the name uncultured bacterium. Its description in RNAcentral is "partial 16S ribosomal RNA". It matches the Rfam family "Bacterial small subunit ribosomal RNA", at positions 506 to 784 of the family's 1533-position model. The record is from RNAcentral.